GUGACUGCGUACCUUUUGUAUAAUGGGUCAGCGACUUAUAUUCUGUAGCAAGGUUAACCGUUUAGGGGAGCCGCAGGGAAACCGAGUCUUAACUGGGCGUUAAGUUGCAGGGUAUAGACCCGAAACCCGGUGAUCUAGCCAUGGGCAGGUUGAAGGUUGGGUAACACUAACUGGAGGACCGAACCGACUAAUGUUGAAAAAUUAGCGGAUGACUUGUGGCUGGGGGUGAAAGGCCAAUCAAACCGGGAGAUAGCUGGUUCUCCCCGAAAGCUAUUUAGGUAGCGCCUCGUGAAUUCAUCUUCGGGGGUAGAGCACUGUUUCGGCUAGGGGGUCAUCCCGACUUACCAACCCGAUGCAAACUGCGAAUACCGAAGAAUGUUAUCACGGGAGACACACGGCGGGUGCUAACGUCCGUCGUGAAGAGGGAAACAACCCAGACCGCCAGCUAAGGUCCCCAAGUCAUGGUUAAGUGGGAAACGAAGUGGGAAGGCUCAGACAGCCAGGAUGUUGGCUUAGAAGCAGCCAUCAUUUAAAGAAAGCGUAAUAGCUCACUGGUCGAGUCGGCCUGCGCGGAAGAUGUAACGGGGCUAAACCAUGCACCGAAGCUGCGGCAGCAACACUUAGGUGUUGUUGGGUAGGGGAGCGUUCUGUAAGCCUGCGAAGGUGUGCUGUGAGGCAUGCUGGAGGUAUCAGAAGUGCGAAUGCUGACAUAAGUAACGAUAAAGCGGGUGAAAAACCCGCUCGCCGGAAGACCAAGGGUUCCUGUCCAACGUUAAUCGGGGCAGGGUGAGUCGACCCCUAAGGCGAGGCCGAAAGGCGUAGUCGAUGGGAAACGGGUUAAUAUUCCCGUACUCGGUGUUACUGCGAAGGGGGGACGGAGAAGGCUAGACCAGCCGGGCGACGGUUGUCCCGGUUCAAGCGUGUAGGUGGGAAGAAUUGGUAAAUCCGUUCUUCCGUGAACACUGAGGCGUGAUAACGAGGCACUACGGUGCUGAAGUGGUUGAUGCCCUGCUUCCAGGAAAAGCCUCUAAGCAUCAGGUAACAGUGAAUCGUACCCCAAACCGACACAGGUGGUCAGGUAGAGAAUACUCAGGCGCUUGAGAGAACUCGGGUGAAGGAACUAGGCAAAAUGGUGCCGUAACUUCGGGAGAAGGCACGCUGGCGCCAGGUGACGGGACUUGCUCCCCGAGCCGAGGCCAGUCGCAGAUACCAGCUGGCUGCAACUGUUUAAUAAAAACACAGCACUGUGCAAACACGAAAGUGGACGUAUACGGUGUGACGCCUGCCCGGUGCUGGAAGGUUAAUUGAUGGGGUUAGCGGCAACGCGAAGCUCUUGAUCGAAGCCCCAGUAAACGGCGGCCGUAACUAUAACGGUCCUAAGGUAGCGAAAUUCCUUGUCGGGUAAGUUCCGACCUGCACGAAUGGCGUAAUGAUGGCCAGGCUGUCUCCACCCGAGACUCAGUGAAAUUGAACUCGCUGUGAAGAUGCAGUGUACCCGCGGCAAGACGGAAAGACCCCGUGAACCUUUACUAUAGCUUGACACUGAACCUUGAACCUUGAUGUGUAGGAUAGGUGGGAGGCUGUGAAGUGCGGACGCCAGUCUGCACGGAGCCAUCCUUGAAAUACCACCCUUGAAUGUUUGAUGUUCUAACGCAGGCCCGUUAUCCGGGUCGCGGACAGUGUCUGGUGGGUAGUUUGACUGGGGCGGUCUCCUCCCAAAGCGUAACGGAGGAGCACGAAGGUUAGCUAAUCACGGUCGGACAUCGUGAGGUUAGUGCAAUGGCAUAAGCUAGCUUGACUGCGAGAGUGACAGCUCGAGCAGGUACGAAAGUAGGUCAUAGUGAUCCGGUGGUUCUGAAUGGAAGGGCCAUCGCUCAACGGAUAAAAGGUACUCCGGGGAUAACAGGCUGAUACCGCCCAAGAGUUCAUAUCGACGGCGGUGUUUGGCACCUCGAUGUCGGCUCAUCACAUCCUGGGGCUGAAGUAGGUCCCAAGGGUACGGCUGUU
Molecule: ribosomal RNA, 2007 nt
Filed under: Xenorhabdus bovienii SS-2004
Lineage: Bacteria; Pseudomonadati; Pseudomonadota; Gammaproteobacteria; Enterobacterales; Morganellaceae
Description: LSU rRNA
Rfam family: Bacterial large subunit ribosomal RNA
Source: RNAcentral